UAGGGAAUCUUCCGCAAUGGGCGAAAGCCUGACGGAGCAACGCCGCGUGAGUGAUGAAGGUCUUCGGAUCGUAAAACUCUGUUAUUAGGGAAGAACAAAUGUGUAAGUAACUAUGCACGUCUUGACGGUACCUAAUCAGAAAGCCACGGCUAACUACGUGCCAGCAGCCGCGGUAAUACGUAGGUGGCAAGCGUUAUCCGGAAUUAUUGGGCGUAAAGCGCGCGUAGGCGGUUUUUUAAGUCUGAUGUGAAAGCCCACGGCUCAACCGUGGAGGGUCAUGGGAAACUGGAAAACUUGAGUGCAGAAGAGGAAAGUGAAAUUCCAUGUGUAGCGGUGAAAUGCGCAGAGAUAUGGAGGAACACCAGUGGCGAAGGCGACUUUCUGGUCUAUAACUGACGCUGAUGUGCGAAAGCGUGGGGAUCAAACAGG
RNAcentral lists this ribosomal RNA (429 nucleotides) under Actinomycetes bacterium. Its description in RNAcentral is "Actinobacteria bacterium partial 16S ribosomal RNA". It matches the Rfam family "Bacterial small subunit ribosomal RNA", at positions 355 to 776 of the family's 1533-position model. Lineage: Bacteria; Bacillati; Actinomycetota; Actinomycetes. The record is from RNAcentral.